CAAUGUUAAUAACAUUACACAUAUAUAGAUAUUUUUGUCAAGCUUUAAUAAGCUUUUGUUUAGCCUUAAAUAAUUUAAUUUAAUAAAUAACGACAGUUGUGAUUAUACACUCGAAAAGAAAACAACGCGUUUUAUUGAAAAAGGUGUGUUCUACAUUUGAUAAAUUCCAACACGUGACCAUAGACUCUCUACUUCAACAGCUUUACUUCAAGGGCAUACAAACAAUUGGGUAUGCGGACGAUAUAGCACUGAUAGUGAAAGACAAGUUCCUAGACACCAUUAGAAACGUAAUGAGAGGUGUUCUCAAAUGCGUCAAAAAAUGGUGUAGGGAACAAGGCCUGGUCAUCAAUGUCACGAAAUCAGACACUAUCCUCUUCACGAGGAAGAGAAGUCUGUCAGUGGAGCCCUUACAACUUUUCGAUAAUAACAUUCGCAUAUCAAAGUCGGUGAAGUAUCUAUGUGUUGUCCUAGAUAAUAAACUGACUUGGAAUGAACAUGUGGAUGAAAAGAUCAGGAAAGCGAAGAGAGGUCUAUUUCAAUGUAAGAGAGUGUCCGGAAGGCGAUGGGCGAUAUCCCCAAAAUCGAUGCACUGGAUCUAUACGAUGAUGGUCAGACAUAUUAUAACAUAUGCGUCAGUUGUCGGGGGUUUAAAAUCACCCAAAAGACAAUAAAAACGAAGUUAAAUAGAGUCCAGCGACUAGCCUGUGUUGGAAUAACAGGCGUUAUGCGAACUACACCAACACCGGCAUUAGAGGCGAUGCUAGAAUUGCUUCCGUUGGAUUUACAUAUAAAGAAAACGGCGGCACUGGCAGCAAUUCGCAUGAACCGGAGCUCCACGUGGAACAACUUCGGAAAAUUAGUGGGCCAUGGUAAGAUUCUUGAUCUCGACCAAACCGCGGUCAAGGAAACGCAGAUGCCAUUGGAGACUAUGAGGAGAGUUUAUGGGACAGAACUGUCCUAUAGAACACUAUAUAGUAGACGGCCUUCUAUAUAAUGAAUGUGAAAGGAAUGACAUAUGCAUAUUUAUCGAUGGCUCCUUAAUGGAUGGCAAAGCUGCUGCUGGGUUUACUCGAAAGAGCUAAAUCUAACGUGUACUCUACAUCUAGAAAUAUAUGUUUCCGUCUAUCAAGCGCAACUUAUGGCGGUCUCACAUGCUCUGGAUCACCUAUUUGAUUGUCAGGUGUAUCAGAAAAAGAUUCUGAUAGCGCUGGACAACCAAGCAGUUAUCAAAAGCAUGUAAAAGACAUACAUAGCCAACAGCUUAGUACAAGAAUGUGUAACGAAGCUCAUGGAAUGUGCUCAUGGAAAUGAGGUGACGAUUAUGUGGGUUAAAUUCUUAUGUGGGUUUCCAAUUCAAUCUGAGUAGGAUUUACUUCAGUUUAACGAAGAAAUCACUGGUGUUGAAGUAGUUGCUGCAUCAAUUAGACGCGUUAUUGACAAACAACCAAUUACGGGAAAGAUUUCGUGAAAUUUUGGAGAAAGUAUACUCAUAAAGUACAACUUUGAUGGUACACAAGGCAAGAAGUUCUUAAGAGCGUUGAAGAAUGUGACAGCAGCACUUUUUGAUGCUUUAAGGACAGAGGGUAAGCCGGAACAAGUGAUCGG
Long non-coding RNA from Teleopsis dalmanni, 1605 nucleotides. RefSeq lists it as uncharacterized. The transcript is spliced from 3 exons. The record is from RefSeq and is a predicted model, not a curated record. NCBI's taxonomy places the organism in Eukaryota, Metazoa, Arthropoda, Insecta, Diptera, Diopsidae.